CUUGCUCUGUGGGAUCAGUGGCGAACGGGUGAGUAACACGUGAGCAACCUGCCCCUGACUCUGGGAUAAGCGCUGGAAACGACGUCUAAUACUGGAUAUGUGACGUGACCGCAUGGUCUGCGUCUGGAAAGAAUUUCGGUUGGGGAUGGGCUCGCGGCCUAUCAGCUUGUUGGUGAGGUAAUGGCUCACCCAGGCAUCGACGGGUAGCCGGCCUGAGAGGGUGACCGGCCACACUGGGACUGAGACACGGCCCAGACUCCUACGGGAGGCAGCAGUGGGGAAUAUUGCACAAUGGGCGCAAGCCUGAUGCCCCAACGCCCCGUGAGGGACGACGGCCUUCGGGUUGUAAACCUCUUUUAGCAGGGAACAAGCGAAAGUGACGGUACCUGCAGAAAAAGCGCCGGCUAACUACGUGCCCCCCGCCGCCGUGAUACGUAGGGCGCAAGCGUUAUCCCGGAAUUAUUGGGCGUAAAGAGCUCG
This 480-nucleotide ribosomal RNA is filed under the name uncultured bacterium. RNAcentral describes it as "bacterial SSU rRNA". It matches the Rfam family "Bacterial small subunit ribosomal RNA", at positions 79 to 571 of the family's 1533-position model. The record is from RNAcentral.